CAUAACUUUUUUGCCUUCAAGCAAUAUCACAGACAACCUUCCAUCCAAAGUCAACAAAAUUGAAACCCAUUUUUGAGAGUUGUUGGUGCCUUAUCCUAUAACUGAUGGAAAUGUUAGUAAAUCUGGAGACGUCGUCGAGGGCCCCGGGAAGACUUAUCUUUUAUUUUUAACAACUUUCCCACCCUGAAAUCGGAUCAACCAGAGAUAGGGUCCAGCAACUGGAAGAGCAUCACACGUCUUGCGAUGUCCGGUGCACCCUCAGUGGCCCUUGAAAAUAUGGAGGACCGAGUACCAUCCAUGCUCGGUCGUACUCAUAACCACAUCAGGUCUCCAAGGUGAACAACCUCUGGUAAAUAGAACAAUGUAGGUAAGGGAAGUUGGAAAAAUCGAUCCGUAACUUUGGGAAAAGGAUUGGCUCUGAGGGUUGGGCCUAGGGGUUUGUGUCCUCAACCCGUGGGCUUUCGGUAGUCUGCCCGUGGGACUGUCAUUGAUUAAUUCUACCUCAUUUUGAAUGGCAGUGCAACUAAUUAAUGCUACCUCCUUUUGAAUGGUAGAGAACCACCUAUCAUUCAUGAUCCAACACAUAGUAGUCAAGAAUCCCAUCCAUUGCUAAUUUUUGGGCUCUAAAGAUGU
Picea glauca (white spruce) is the source of this 633-nucleotide non-coding RNA. The record is from Rfam. Lineage: Eukaryota; Viridiplantae; Streptophyta; Pinopsida; Pinales; Pinaceae.